RNAcentral lists this ribosomal RNA (2936 nucleotides) under Priestia megaterium. RNAcentral describes it as "23S ribosomal RNA". It matches the Rfam family "Bacterial large subunit ribosomal RNA". The record is from RNAcentral. Lineage: Bacteria; Bacillati; Bacillota; Bacilli; Caryophanales; Bacillaceae.
GGUUAAGUUAGAAAGGGCGCACGGUGAAUGCCUUGGCACUAGGAGCCGAUGAAGGACGGGACUAACACCGAUAUGCUUCGGGGAGCUGUAAGUGAGCUUUGAUCCGGAGAUUUCCGAAUGGGGAAACCCACUGUUCGUAAUGGAACAGUAUCUUUAUCUGAAUACAUAGGAUAUUGAAGGCAGACCCGGGGAACUGAAACAUCUAAGUACCCGGAGGAAGAGAAAGCAAAUGCGAUUUCCUGAGUAGCGGCGAGCGAAACGGAAUUAGCCCAAACCAAGAGGCUUGCCUCUUGGGGUUGUAGGACACUCUAUACGGAGUUACAAAGGAACGAAGUAAAUGAAGCGACCUGGAAAGGUCCGUCGAAGAAGGUAACAACCCUGUAGUUGAAACUUCGUUCCCUCUUGAGUGGAUCCUGAGUACGGCGGAACACGUGAAAUUCCGUCGGAAGCUGGGAGGACCAUCUCCCAAGGCUAAAUACUACCUAGUGACCGAUAGUGAACCAGUACCGUGAGGGAAAGGUGAAAAGCACCCCGGAAGGGGAGUGAAAGAGAUCCUGAAACCGUGUGCCUACAAGUAGUCAGAGCCCGUUAAUGGGUGAUGGCGUGCCUUUUGUAGAAUGAACCGGCGAGUUACGAUCCCAUGCAAGGUUAAGCUGAUAAGGCGGAGCCGUAGCGAAAGCGAGUCUGAAUAGGGCGUUUAGUAUGUGGUUGUAGACCCGAAACCAGGUGAUCUACCCAUGUCCAGGGUGAAGUUCAGGUAACACUGAAUGGAGGCCCGAACCCACGCACGUUGAAAAGUGCGGGGAUGAGGUGUGGGUAGCGGAGAAAUUCCAAUCGAACCUGGAGAUAGCUGGUUCUCUCCGAAAUAGCUUUAGGGCUAGCCUCAUGUUGUGAGAGUCUUGGAGGUAGAGCACUGAUUGGACUAGGGGCCCCCAACGGGUUACCGAAUUCAGUCAAACUCCGAAUGCCAAAGACUUAUCCAUGGGAGUCAGACUGCGAGUGAUAAGAUCCGUAGUCAAAAGGGAAACAGCCCAGACCACCAGCUAAGGUCCCCAAGUAUACGUUAAGUGGAAAAGGAUGUGGAGUUGCUUAGACAACCAGGAUGUUGGCUUAGAAGCAGCCACCAUUUAAAGAGUGCGUAAUAGCUCACUGGUCGAGUGACUCUGCGCCGAAAAUGUACCGGGGCUAAACGUAUCACCGAAGCUGUGGAUUGACAUCUUUGAUGUCAGUGGUAGGAGAGCGUUCUAAGUGCUGUGAAGUCAGACUGUAAGGACUGGUGGAGCGCUUAGAAGUGAGAAUGCCGGUAUGAGUAGCGAAAGACAAGUGAGAAUCUUGUCCACCGAAUGCCUAAGGUUUCCUGAGGAAGGCUCGUCCGCUCAGGGUUAGUCGGGACCUAAGCCGAGGCUGAAAAGCGUAGGCGAUGGCCAACAGGUUGAUAUUCCUGUACCACCUCCCCGCCGUUUGAGUAAUGGGGGGACGCAGUAGGAUAGGGUAAGCGCGCUGCUGGAUAUGCGCGUUCAAGCAGUUAGGCUGAUGAGUAGGCAAAUCCGCUCAUCAUAAAGGCUGAGCUGUGAUGACGAGGGAAUUAUAGUACCGAAGUUCCUGAUUCCACACUGCCAAGAAAAGCCUCUAGCGAGGCGGGAGGUGCCCGUACCGCAAACCGACACAGGUAGGCGAGGAGAGAAUCCUAAGGUGAUCGAGAGAACUCUCGUUAAGGAACUCGGCAAAAUGACCCCGUAACUUCGGGAGAAGGGGUGCUCUGGUAGGGUGUAUAGCCCGAGAGAGCCGCAGUGAAUAGGCCCAGGCGACUGUUUAGCAAAAACACAGGUCUCUGCGAAGCCGCAAGGCGAAGUAUAGGGGCUGACGCCUGCCCGGUGCUGGAAGGUUAAGAGGAGGGGUUAUCCUUUGGGAGAAGCUCUGAAUCGAAGCCCCAGUAAACGGCGGCCGUAACUAUAACGGUCCUAAGGUAGCGAAAUUCCUUGUCGGGUAAGUUCCGACCCGCACGAAAGGCGUAACGAUCUGGGCACUGUCUCAACGAGAGACUCGGUGAAAUUAUAGUACCUGUGAAGAUGCAGGUUACCCGCGACAGGACGGAAAGACCCCGUGGAGCUUUACUGUAGCCUGAUAUUGAAUUUUGGUACAGCUUGUACAGGAUAGGUAGGAGCCUGAGAAGCCGGAGCGCUAGCUUCGGUGGAGGCGUCGGUGGGAUACUACCCUGGCUGUAUUGAAAUUCUAACCCGCGGCCCUGAUCGGGCCGGGAGACAGUGUCAGGUGGGCAGUUUGACUGGGGCGGUCGCCUCCUAAAAUGUAACGGAGGCGCCCAAAGGUUCCCUCAGAAUGGUUGGAAAUCAUUCGUAGAGUGUAAAGGCACAAGGGAGCUUGACUGCGAGACCUACAAGUCGAGCAGGGACGAAAGUCGGGCUUAGUGAUCCGGUGGUUCCGCAUGGAAGGGCCAUCGCUCAACGGAUAAAAGCUACCCCGGGGAUAACAGGCUUAUCUCCCCCAAGAGUCCACAUCGACGGGGAGGUUUGGCACCUCGAUGUCGGCUCAUCGCAUCCUGGGGCUGUAGUCGGUCCCAAGGGUUGGGCUGUUCGCCCAUUAAAGCGGUACGCGAGCUGGGUUCAGAACGUCGUGAGACAGUUCGGUCCCUAUCCGUCGUGGGCGUAGGAAAUUUGAGAGGAGCUGUCCUUAGUACGAGAGGACCGGGAUGGACACACCGCUGGUGUACCAGUUGUCUUGCCAAAGGCAUCGCUGGGUAGCUAUGUGUGGACGGGAUAAGUGCUGAAAGCAUCUAAGCAUGAAGCCCCCCUCAAGAUGAGAUUUCCCAUAGCGCAAGCUAGUAAGAUCCCUGAAAGAUGAUCAGGUUGAUAGGUCAGAGGUGGAAGCGUGGCGACAUGUGUAGCUGACUGAUACUAAUCGAUCGAGGACUUAACCAA